Long non-coding RNA from Papaver somniferum (opium poppy), 1284 nucleotides. RefSeq lists it as uncharacterized. NCBI's taxonomy places the organism in Eukaryota, Viridiplantae, Streptophyta, Magnoliopsida, Ranunculales, Papaveraceae. The transcript has 3 exons. The record is from RefSeq and is a predicted model, not a curated record.
CCACCGCCACCACCUUCGUCGCUCUCACCACCACCCUCAUCUUGAUUUCCUCCACUACAACCAGCACCACCACCUCCGUUACGUACACCAUUACUAUCAGCAAACUUCUUCUUUGUAGUUUGAAAAUUGAAAUUGGAAAUCAGAUUCACAUAGAUCGAGAGAUCUGAUUUCUUUGGUUUCAAUUUUAGUAAUUGAAUAGAGAGUAUAAGUUUUGCAUGUUCAAUUCAGCGAAGCUCAAGACUGAUUCAGUUUGUAAUGUUCAUCAUUUGGGUUGUAAAUACUUUUGAUUUCGAUUUUUGAGGGUUUGUGGUUAUUUCGUUUGAUUUUUAUGAUUCAACGGGUUAUACGGGUUCAGUGGUGGUGCUGUUGUUUUGGAUUGAGGCAGUAGUGUUUAAGAAGGUUAUGGAGAAAGAAGUUGCCAUGACCAAAAUGGAGGUGGAUGCUGUUGGGGAUGAAUUCCAAGUGAGGUUUUUGGUUCAGUGUAGCAGUGAACACAAGAUGGGUGCAGAGAUGGAUUUGUGUGUGGUUGUUGUUGUGGUCGGCGUCGGGAGAUGGAUGCAGGUAUAUGGGUAGAGAUAUGAAUGAAUAUCAUAUUUUGGGUUCCAUAUGCGGUCUAAAUUUGGUGGGUCUUGACUGAAAUUAGUGUUGAAUGAUGGUGGUCGUGUAUAGAGUUUAAAUGGUGAUGAAUUUGUAUAUGAAGUUACAUUUCGAUUAUCAGUGGGUGGUGAAUUUGUCAAGAGAAUUCUGAGCUCGACUAGUUGGUGUAUCUGGACCUGAGAACUUGGGAUCCAGGGAGUACAUUAACUACUGAGUGCAGGCAACGGUGGCUAAUUGACAUGGAAUGAGAACUAGCUGUAACUGGUAGAGUGCUGGAUCAACACGUUGGAUAGUAGAAGUUGAUUUUGCAAAGGGUGUAGACCUUCCAUUUCAGGUAUUUCCAACUAUCAAGGAACUUGGUUUGACACAGAUGGAAGUAAAUGUUAAGGUGAAGAUAUCUUUGGAGAAAAAAUGUUUGCACUUGGAGUUGUGAUCAAGAUCCCAGAACCAAAGCAAACAGCUAAGAUAAGUUUUCGAGUAUCAUCUGGUCGAGCGAAGUACAAUGCCUAUAUUGAUUGCUUAGUCUGAAAGUGAGUAUAUAAUAUAGUUAGGAUUGUUAAGUGAUUUGGACAUUAAUUAUUAGUUAGUCCAGACUCAUGGUUUCUUUCCUUCGUGCAUUUCUCAAGUUUUAUUCCUUUUCCAAGAUGUAGUGAAUGGAUAUUUGACGUGAUUACUUUUUUUGAUGCA